RNAcentral lists this ribosomal RNA (443 nucleotides) under uncultured bacterium. RNAcentral's name for it is "bacterial SSU rRNA". It matches the Rfam family "Bacterial small subunit ribosomal RNA", at positions 29 to 513 of the family's 1533-position model. The record is from RNAcentral.
AACGAACGCUGGCGGCAGGCCUAACACAUGCAAGUCGAGCGAACCCUUCGGGGUUAGCGGCGGACGGGUUAGUAACGCGUGGGAAUAUACCCUUUGGUACGGAAUAGCCUCGGGAAACUGAGAGUAAUACCGUAUGUGCCCUUCGGGGAAGGAUUUAUCGCCAAAGGAUUAGCCCGCGUUGGAUUAGAUAGUUGGUGGGGUAAGUGGCCUACCAAGUCUACGAUCCAUAGCUGGUUUGAGAGGAUGAUCAGCAACACUGGGACUGAGACACGGCCCAGACUCCUACGGGAGGCAGCAGUGGGGGAAUCUUAGACAAUGGGCGCAAGCCUGAUCUAGCCAUGCCGCGUGGACGAUGAAGGCCUUAGGGUUGUAAAGUCCUUUCUAGUAGGGAAAGUAAUGACGGUACCGUACAGAAGAAGACACCGGCGUAACUACCGUCGCCA